CGACGCCUCUGGAAAGCGGUGGUGACACACCCGCCGAUGGGGAAAGGCGCCGGGCACUAGGCGGCACCGAAUCUCUCAGGCGCCCGGCGAACGGGUGAAGACAGAGGGAGAG
Molecule: non-coding RNA, 112 nt
Filed under: Mycobacterium saskatchewanense
Lineage: Bacteria; Bacillati; Actinomycetota; Actinomycetes; Mycobacteriales; Mycobacteriaceae
Description: Glycine sequence
Rfam family: Glycine riboswitch aptamer
About the family: This family represents the bacterial glycine riboswitch. Glycine riboswitches usually consist of two metabolite-binding aptamers domains with similar structures in tandem.
Source: Rfam by way of RNAcentral